GACGAACGCUGGCGGCGUGCUUAACACAUGCAAGUCGAACGGAAAGGCCCUGCUUUUGUGGGGUGCUCGAGUGGCGAACGGGUGAGUAACACGUGAGUAACCUGCCCUUGACUUUGGGAUAACUUCAGGAAACUGGGGCUAAUACCGGAUAGGAGCUCCUGCUGCAUGGUGGGGGUUGGAAAGUUUCGGCGGUUGGGGAUGGACUCGCGGCUUAUCAGCUUGUUGGUGGGGUAGUGGCUUACCAAGGCUUUGACGGGUAGCCGGCCUGAGAGGGUGACCAGCCACAUUGGGACUGAGAUACGGCGCAGACUCCUACGGGAGGCAGCAGUGGGGAAUAUGACACAAUGGGCGGAAGCCUGAUGCAGCAACGCCGCGUGCGGGAUGACGGCCUUCGGGUUGUAAACCGCUUUCGCCUGUGACGAAGCGUGAGUGACGGUAAUGGGUAAAGAAGCACCGGCUAACUACGUG
Molecule: ribosomal RNA, 468 nt
Filed under: uncultured bacterium
Lineage: Bacteria
Description: partial 16S ribosomal RNA
Rfam family: Bacterial small subunit ribosomal RNA
Source: RNAcentral